RNAcentral lists this ribosomal RNA (359 nucleotides) under Clostridioides difficile. Its description in RNAcentral is "bacterial SSU rRNA". It matches the Rfam family "Bacterial small subunit ribosomal RNA", at positions 892 to 1250 of the family's 1533-position model. Lineage: Bacteria; Bacillati; Bacillota; Clostridia; Peptostreptococcales; Peptostreptococcaceae. The record is from RNAcentral.
GAGUGAAACUCAAAGGAAUUGACGGGGACCCGCACAAGUAGCGGAGCAUGUGGUUUAAUUCGAAGCAACGCGAAGAACCUUACCUAAGCUUGACAUCCCAAUGACAUCUCCUUAAUCGGAGAGUUCCCUUCGGGGACAUUGGUGACAGGUGGUGCAUGGUUGUCGUCAGCUCGUGUCGUGAGAUGUUGGGUUAAGUCCCGCAACGAGCGCAACCCUUAUCUUUAGUUGCCAGCAUUAAGUUGGGCACUCUAGAGAGACUGCCAGGGAUAACCUGGAGGAAGGUGGGGAUGACGUCAAAUCAUCAUGCCCCUUAUGCUUAGGGCUACACACGUGCUACAAUGGGUAGUACAGAGGGUUGC